GACGAACGCUGGCGGCGUGCUUAACACAUGCAAGUCGAGCGGUAAGGCCCUUUCGGGGGUACACGAGCGGCGAACGGGUGAGUAACACGUGGGUGACCUGCCCUUAGCUCUGGGAUAAGCCUGGGAAACUGGGUCUAAUACCGGAUAUGACUCCAUGACGCAUGUUGUGGGGUGGAAAGCCUUGUGCGGCUAGGGAUGGGCCCGCGGCCUAUCGGCUUGUUGGUGGGGUGAUGGCCACCAAGGCGACGACGGUAGCCGGCCUGAGAGGGCGACCGGCCACACUGGGACUGAGACACGGCCCAGACUCCUACGGGAGGCAGCAGUGGGGAAUCUUGCGCAAUGGGCGAAAGCCUGACGCAGCGACGCCGCGUGGGGAUGACGGCCUC
RNAcentral lists this ribosomal RNA (386 nucleotides) under uncultured bacterium. RNAcentral describes it as "bacterial SSU rRNA". It matches the Rfam family "Bacterial small subunit ribosomal RNA", at positions 28 to 418 of the family's 1533-position model. The record is from RNAcentral.